AGAGUUUGAUCAUGGCUCAGGAUGAACGCUAGCUACAGGCUUAACACAUGCAAGUCGCGGGGCAGCAUGUUGGUUGCUUGCAACCGAUGAUGGCGACCGGCGCACGGGUGAGUAACGCGUAUCCAACCUACCUAUUACCACGGGAUAACCCGGCGAAAGUCGGACUAAUACCGUAUGUUGUCCUCCAAUGGCAUCAGCAGUGGACUAAAGGUUUGGCGGUAAUAGAUGGGGAUGCGUCCGAUUAGCUAGUUGGUGAGGUAAUGGCUCACCAAGGCUUCGAUCGGUAGGGGUUCUGAGAGGAAGGUCCCCCACACUGGAACUGAGACACGGUCCAGACUCCUACGGGAGGCAGCAGUGAGGAAUAUUGGUCAAUGGGCGAGAGCCUGAACCAGCCAAGUAGCGUGCAGGAAGACGGCCCUAUGGGUUGUAAACUGCUUUUAUAGGGGAAUAAAGUGAUCUACGUGUAGUUUAUUGUAUGUACCCUAUGAAUAAGGACCGGCUAAUUCCGUGCCAGCAGCCGCGGU
This 524-nucleotide ribosomal RNA is filed under the name Prevotella sp. oral clone 12-52. Its description in RNAcentral is "bacterial SSU rRNA". It matches the Rfam family "Bacterial small subunit ribosomal RNA", at positions 8 to 521 of the family's 1533-position model. The record is from RNAcentral. Lineage: Bacteria; Pseudomonadati; Bacteroidota; Bacteroidia; Bacteroidales; Prevotellaceae.